AACUGGAAAUAAGGAAUGACCUAUUUGAAAAGAAAAUUGGAAAACUUUGACAAAAGUAUAAAAAAUAGAGACCAGGCCACGUUGGAUUGCCACAUCAGUAGCGCGGCCAGUCACCGUGCGCCGCAUGGCAGACACAUGGAUAUGCAUCCAUGCAUGAAGCCACAUGGGCAACCUGCGUGCCAACAGAUCCAACUGCCCAGAUCUACUUCCACACACAUGAACGAC
This 225-nucleotide long non-coding RNA is filed under the name Carica papaya (papaya). RNAcentral's name for it is "long non-coding RNA (CPAP_LNC016357)". Lineage: Eukaryota; Viridiplantae; Streptophyta; Magnoliopsida; Brassicales; Caricaceae. The record is from RNAcentral.